Molecule: ribosomal RNA, 439 nt
Filed under: uncultured bacterium
Lineage: Bacteria
Description: partial 16S ribosomal RNA
Rfam family: Bacterial small subunit ribosomal RNA
Source: RNAcentral
CGGGUGGCAGCAGCAGUGGGGAAUAUUGCACAAUGGAGGAAACUCUGAUGCAGCAACGCCGCGUGGAGGAUGACACUUUUCGGAGCGUAAACUCCUUUUAUAUAGGAAGAAGAUGACGGUACUAUAUGAAUAAGCGCCGGCUAACUCCGUGCCAGCAGCCGCGGUAAUACGGAGGGCGCAAGCGUUACUCGGAAUCACUGGGCGUAAAGAGCGUGUAGGCGGAUUAAAAAGUCAGAAGUGAAAUCCUAUAGCUUAACUAUAGAACUGCUUCUGAAACUCUUAAUCUAGAAUAUGGGAGAGGUAGAUGGAAUUUCUGGUGUAGGGGUAAAAUCCGUAGAGAUCAGAAGGAAUACCGAUUGCGAAGGCGAUCUACUAGAACAUUAUUGACGCUGAGACGCGAAAGCGUGGGGAGCAAACAGGAUUAGAUACCCCAGUAGUC